UUAAUAUGUUUUCAACAGUAG
RNAcentral lists this non-coding RNA (21 nucleotides) under Caenorhabditis elegans. The record is from RNAcentral. Lineage: Eukaryota; Metazoa; Nematoda; Chromadorea; Rhabditida; Rhabditidae.